GUACAAAACGUAGUCUUAUUAUAAUCUAAUAAAACUUCAAACAACGGAUCUCUUGGCUCUCGCAUCGAUGAAGAACGCAGCGAAAUGCGAUAAGUAAUGUGAAUUGCAGAAUUCAGUGAAUCAUCGAAUCUUUGAACGCACCUUGCGCUCUUUGGUAUUCCGAAGAGCAUGCCUGUUUGAGUGUCAUGAAAAUAUCAACCUUGACUUGGGUUUAGUGCUCUUGUCUUGGCUUGGAUUUGGCUGUUUGCCGCUCGAAAGAGUCGGCUCAGCUUAAAAGUAUUAGCUGGAUCUGUCUUUGAGACUUGGUUUGACUUGGCGUAAUAAGUUAUUUCGCUGAGGACAAUCUUCGGAUUGGCCGAGUUUCUGGGACGUUUGUCCGCUUUCUAAUACAAGUUCUAGCUUGCUAGACAUGACUUUUUUAUUAUCUGGCCUCAAAUCAGGUAGGACUACCCGCUGAACUUAAGCAUAUCAAUAAGCGGAGGA
This 483-nucleotide ribosomal RNA is filed under the name uncultured fungus. RNAcentral's name for it is "eukaryotic LSU rRNA". The stretch from base 33 to 186 matches the Rfam family "5.8S ribosomal RNA". The record is from RNAcentral. Lineage: Eukaryota; Fungi.